CGGGCGCUGCGCGCGGGCCCGGCCCGGGGCAGGGCGGACAUGGGCGCCAAGCAGAGCGGCCCGGCCGCUGCUAACGGCCGCACCCGCGCGUAUUCGGGCUCCGACUUACCCUCCAGCAGCGGCGGAGGGGCCAACGGGACCGCCGGCGGCGGAGGGGCGCGGGCCGCGGCCGCCGGGAGGCUUCCGGCUCAGGUGCCGGGCGCGCACCAGCCCAGCGCCUCGGGCGGCGCCGCGGCGGCCUCAGCGGCCCCGCGCAGCCGCUCUCUCGGCGGGGCAGUGGGCACCGUGGCGUCGGGGGCCCGCGCCGCGCAGUCCUCCCUCAGCAUCCCCAGCAGCAGCAGCGGCCAGUACGGCUCGCAGGACUCGGUGCACAGCAGCCCGGAGGACGGCGGCGGCGGCGGCGGCAGGGACCGGCCGGCGGGCGGGGGCCCGGGCGGGCCGCGCCUGGUCAUCGGCUCGCUCCCGGCUCACCUCUCGCCGCACUUGUUUGGAGGAUUUAAGUGCCCUGUAUGCUCAAAAUUUGUACCCUCAGAUGAAAUGGAUUUACAUCUUGUGAUGUGUUUAACAAAGCCAAGAAUAACCUAUAAUGAGGAUGUCCUGAGUAAAGAUACUGGGGAAUGUGCGAUAUGCCUGGAAGACUUGCAGCAAGGGGACACGAUAGCACGGCUGCCUUGUCUGUGCAUCUACCAUAAAGGCUGCAUAGAUGAAUGGUUUGAAGUAAAUAGAUCUUGCCCUGAGCACCCUUCAGAUUAAGCAUCAGCUUCCUGUUUUAUAGGUUUUCUUCUCUUCUCAAGAUGCUUAAAAAAACAAGAGGAAAUGGGGAUCUGUCUCUGGAAAAACAAAAACAAAAAAUGCAGGCAUACUCAGCCAAAAAUCUGAGUUCUGUGUGACUUAGUCGAUGCAGAGAUAGACAAUCAUAUAGAGAAAAACCCUGCUGGAGGGAGGACAUUUGCCACAGAACUCAGUGCACCAAACAUGACAUAAGGACUCACAGGGAUUUUGAAAAUGCUGCACAUCCCUUAAUAGUCAUCUACAUAGAAUUCCUGCAUUGCAUGGGGAAUACCUGGUCUUUUAAGUCAGGUGAUUCUCUGUGGAAAGUAAAAGGCAUUGAAGAAAACCAGAUGUGUUGAUGUUGAUGAAAAUACAGCAUUACUUUCUUUAUGGAGUCGAUACAUUUUCAGGACAAGAUCUCUGCCUGGGAAAAGCUGAUUAUGCCAGAAGUAGCUGCUGGAGAACCUGAGAUAAAGAACACCAAUUCCGACACCAAAGAUUGGAUCUUACAUGGAAGGCAGAGCCUUAAGAAGCCAGUCAGGAAUACUGGGCAAGUUGUGAGAAAGCAGGAGAGAGAGUGUGUGUGUGUGUGUGUGUGUGUGUGUCUGUCUGUCUGUCUGUUAGGGUUCAGGAGGUAUUAGACACAAUAGUUGCCAGCACCAUUAGAGCUCUGAGGCGGUAAGUGCAUGGUAAGUACACUGAGCGAGUGGAAGGUCUAGGCUGGCUGAACUGGACCUUUCCCGGCACCCUGCCCCCCUCUUACCCUCAGAUGCCCAUUGGAUAGGGCCGUGCUUCCCCGGGGUUGCUCAGUGCUGAGGUGCCUCCAAUGAGCAACCCUAGGGUUUUCUCUCUGGUUCAUCUGUCCCAUAUCUUUCCAUCCUACAAGUGUCCUCAGACAUUCACACCAGAAGAAAGCUGUUGUUGGAAGCAGAAUUUGUGGAAGUAGACAGGAAGGGUGAAUCCUGCUGUCCAGGGGAUGCUGCUGUUGGGAUGGCUGGGUCAGGUUGGCAAGAGGAGGACCAGGAAACAUGGGUCAGCUCCUGGGGAAAAUUAUAAUUCCAGGCAAAAGUUGGUAAUGUGUAAUGGCAUCGCAAAUAUAUGACUAGCGUGGGUGUGCAAAGCCUACUUCCUGAAUAAGCAUUUGUGUCAGACCUUUUAAGGGGUAAGAGUAGUAAAGUCACUGGAAAAUUCUUUAUCUGACUGGUAAGUGUGAGUGCUGCUGAAACAAAUGAAAACAGAUGAAAGUAUUGCAAACAGAGAUUGUGGUCGAGACAGCCAGACACAGAUGUGGGAACUCAUUUUCGUUUUUAGAGGCUUGUUUCCUCAACAAGAACGGUGUUCUAUUUCUAACCAGUUUUCUUUCACAGCUUUUUAAAGACAACUCGAGUAAGUUCUAAUUUACAUACAACAAAAACAUGCAUUGGAAGGGUAUGGUCUGAUGAGUUUGGACACUUGUGUACACCUGAGCAACUAUCACCAUGACAGGGAACGUUCUUAUCACCCCUCAGAAGUUACCACCAGCCUCUUUCCACUCGGGUCCCACCCACCCGUCCGUCCUCAGCCCUGGGCAGCACAGACCUGCUUCGUUUCGUGUCACUGUGGACUAGAUGAAAACAUUCAAAAUGUCCUUUAUUUGUGUAAGGCUUGUUUUGCUCAUUGUGUCUGUGAUAGGCAUCAGUUUAUUGCUUGAAUCAGUUCUUUUUUAUUGCUGAGUAGUAUUCCAUUGUAUGAAGAUACUACAGUUCGUUACCCAUUCUAUUGCUGGACACCUGGGCUGUUUCUAAUUUGGGCUAUUAUGAAUAAAGUAUCUGUAACAUUUAUAUAUAAAUCUUAUGUGAACAUGUGAUUUCAUCUCUCUUGAAUAAAUACCUAGGAGUGGAA
This is an RNA transcript of Myotis myotis, 2652 nucleotides long. It is a transcript of the gene named zinc and ring finger 2, with no coding region annotated. Lineage: Eukaryota; Metazoa; Chordata; Mammalia; Chiroptera; Vespertilionidae. The transcript is spliced from 7 exons. The record is from RefSeq and is a predicted model, not a curated record.